UGGCUUUCUUGGCGGGUGGAACAUCAUCACUAGGAAGGUGAUUUCCCCAGAGUGAGGCUCAACUCCUGCGCUCUGGGUGUGUUGGCUUUUCUGAUUUUGUCAAAUGUAGGAAACUCAGCUGUAUAAUCUGUGGCAAAGGGGGACUGCAUUUAUGCUCUCUCCUA
Molecule: non-coding RNA, 164 nt
Organism: Fulmarus glacialis (Northern fulmar)
Lineage: Eukaryota; Metazoa; Chordata; Aves; Procellariiformes; Procellariidae
Source: Rfam